CUAAGGUAGCAUAAUCAUUUGUCACUUAAUUGGUAACUGGAAUGAAAGGUUAAACUAAUCUAUUAAGUUUGUUAGGCUGAGCAUAAAUUUAAAGUUAAGGUAAGAAUUCUUUAAUAUUCUAGGGGACGAUAAGACCCUAGAAGCUUAACGAGCAGGUUGUUUUGUGUUAUAAAUUUGUUUGUUUUACUGGGGCGGUAAAAAUAAUUAAGCUAUUUAUUGUUUAAUAGAUCCUUAAAAUAAAGAAAAAAUGGAGAAGUUACUCUAGGGAUAA
This 271-nucleotide ribosomal RNA is filed under the name Gammarus balcanicus. RNAcentral's name for it is "partial 16S ribosomal RNA". Lineage: Eukaryota; Metazoa; Arthropoda; Malacostraca; Amphipoda; Gammaridae. The record is from RNAcentral.